AACAGCCACACCAAAAGUGGCUUUGGAGAGAAGUGUCCAUCUUGUCCAGCACUCUGACCUCAGACCAUUCCUUUUGUAGCCUGACCCAAGCUCAGACAGAGGAAGCAGGAGCCACCUGAACAACUGAAGGGUGCAGACACCCAGAAGCUGGUUUUGUAAAUAAAUCGUGCACCUUGGCGCUGGUGCACUAAUUGGAUGCUUUGGAGUAAUACUUGCAGCUUCCAUUUAUUAAGCAUUUACUUUGUACUAGGCACUUUACAGAGAUCAUCUCCAUAAUCAUGGGUUGUAGACACUGGUGUCAUCUCCAUUCUACAGCUGAGUAAACAGGCUAAGAGAUGUUACAUAGGGUGCCCGAGCUCACACAGCUAGCAGACAGCCGGGAACUGUGGAGCUGGGAUUCACACCAGCUCUGUCUGACCUCGGGCCAAGUACUUAAGCACCUCCUCACUACAUUCUUCCUCAGUGGGUCUAUGCAUAGCAAGAAAUGAGCCACGUGCUCCCCUAGACCCAUCUUGCUCUCUCUUUUUCCUCAUUGCCUCUGCACCUUUCCUUCCCCUGCCCCUGCCCUUGGGUAGAGCAGGUAAGGAUGGUGACUCUGCAUGUGUCUGCUAGGCCCUACCUCCUUGGACCUUGUGGACCUGUUUUCUGGUGCUCCAGCCCAACUUCCAACCCCAGGCUCACCUGGUGAGUGGCUGAAUCACACUGGGAUUUUGAGAGUAUAUGCUCAUCCCACCUACCCCGGGACCAGACACUUAGAUGCUGAUUCCUGUUUGAAAAUCCUUUAGUGCCAGCCACACUGGCAUGUCCCAAGUUCACAGCCUCUCUGUCCCGUGGCGCUGGUUUUGUGUCUCCUCCCCGGGUGUAGGUUCUUUGUUUGCUUUGACACUCACACACCUCUGACCACUGGAUCCCUGCUCCUCCACCCGAUGGCUGCUUGUCUGGAAUGCCCUCACCUGCUCACAUGCUUCCUGAGGAUGAGGACUUUAAGAAAGAGAGAGAAAUCAAUCGGUCACACUAGAGUUACAUCAAAGAAAUUCUUUUUAGAAAAUCUAUUUUUUACUAUUUCCAAGGCACUCCUAUGACUUCCCAUUGGGUUUGGGGAUUUGGGAUUUGGAGUAUGAUGGGAGUAUGAAGAAAUAAAGGUACCCUUGCCAGGAAAA
This 1160-nucleotide long non-coding RNA is filed under the name Homo sapiens (human). RNAcentral's name for it is "novel transcript". The record is from RNAcentral. Lineage: Eukaryota; Metazoa; Chordata; Mammalia; Primates; Hominidae.